This 460-nucleotide ribosomal RNA is filed under the name uncultured bacterium. RNAcentral's name for it is "partial 16S ribosomal RNA". It matches the Rfam family "Bacterial small subunit ribosomal RNA", at positions 338 to 795 of the family's 1533-position model. The record is from RNAcentral.
CCUACGGGUGGCAGCAGUGAGGAAUAUUGGUCAAUGGACGAGAGUCUGAACCAGCCAAGUAGCGUGAAGGAUGACUGCCCUAUGGGUUGUAAACUUCUUUUAUAUGGGAAUAAAACGUUCCACGUGUGGGAUUUUGUAUGUACCAUAUGAAUAAGGAUCGGCUAACUCCGUGCCAGCAGCCGCGGUAUUACGGAGGAUCCGAGCGUUAUCCGGAUUUAUUGGGUUUAAAGGGAGCGUAGGUGGAUUGUUAAGUCAGUUGUGAAAGUUUGCGGCUCAACCGUAAAAUUGCAGUUGAAACUGGCAGUCUUGAGUACAGUAGAGGUGGGCGGAAUUCGUGGUGUAGCGGUGAAAUGCUUAGAUAUCACGAAGAACUCCGAUUGCGAAGGCAGUUCACUGGACUGCAACUGACACUGAGGCUCGAAAGUGUGGGUAUCAAACAGGAUUAGAUACCCUUGUAGUC